AAAGCCCUUUCGGGGGUAAGUAGAGUGGCGUCCGGGUGAGUAACACGUAGGUAAUCUACCUCUGGGUGGGGAAUAACGUCUCGAAAGAGACGCUAAUACCGCAUAAUGCAGCGGCACCUAAUGGUGAAUAGUUGUUAAAGCGGGGGAUCGCAAGACCUCGCGCCUAGAGAGGAGCCUGCGGCAGAUUAGCUAGUUGGUGAGGUAAUGGCUCACCAAGGCUUCGAUCUGUAGCUGGUCUGAGAGGACGGCCAGCCACACUGGCACUGACACACGGGCCAGACUCCUACGGGAGGCAGCAGUGGGGAAUUUUGGGCAAUGGGCGCAAGCCUGACCCAGCAACGCCGCGUGAAGGAGGAAAUCCUUCGGGAUGUAAACUUCACAAGCAAGGGAAGAAUGCCUCAGGGUGAAUACCCCUGAGGAGAGACGGUACCUUGCGUAAGCCACGGCUAACUACGUGCCAGCAGCCGCGGUAAUACGUAGGUGGCAAGCGUUGUUCGGAAUUAUUGGGCGUAGAGGGCGCGUAGGCGGUUCGUUAAGUCAGUUGUGAAAGCCCGGAGCUCAACUCCGGAGAGUCGACUGAUACUGGCGAGCUAGAGUACGGAAGAGGUAGCUGGAAUUCCCGGUGUAGCGGUGAAAUGCGUAGAUGUCGGGAGGAACACCAGAGGCGAAGGCGGGCUACUGGGCCGAUACUGACGCUGAUGCGCGAAAGCCAGGGGAGCAAACGGGAUUAGAUACCCCGGUAGUCCUGGCCCUAAACGAUGGACACUUGGUGUGUCGGGUAUUCAAGUCCCGGCGUGCCGGAGCUAACGCGUUAAGUGUCCCGCCUGGGGAGUACGGUCGCAAGGCUGAAACUC
This 854-nucleotide ribosomal RNA is filed under the name uncultured Pseudomonadota bacterium. RNAcentral's name for it is "bacterial SSU rRNA". It matches the Rfam family "Bacterial small subunit ribosomal RNA", at positions 71 to 902 of the family's 1533-position model. The record is from RNAcentral. Lineage: Bacteria; Pseudomonadati; Pseudomonadota.